AUUUAUAAAGGUUAGCUUACAUGAUUCACACUAUUCGCCUACUAAACCGACUACUCAUCGCCUUUAAUGUGCGCGGUAUGCUGGUAGGGGAAAGACAGAGUUAACCUCCAUCAGAUGUGAAAAAAACCGCGCUGGGCGCGGUUUUUUUA
Non-coding RNA from Xenorhabdus bovienii SS-2004, 149 nucleotides. The record is from Rfam. Lineage: Bacteria; Pseudomonadati; Pseudomonadota; Gammaproteobacteria; Enterobacterales; Morganellaceae.